This is a long non-coding RNA of Entelurus aequoreus (snake pipefish), 391 nucleotides long. RefSeq lists it as uncharacterized. Lineage: Eukaryota; Metazoa; Chordata; Actinopteri; Syngnathiformes; Syngnathidae. The transcript has 3 exons. The record is from RefSeq and is a predicted model, not a curated record.
AGCACCUCCGAGUUCAUGGAGUACAAAUAAAUGCGUGUCCCGUCUUCGACGCGCUGCGCCGACCGUCCUCCUCUGGCUCCGACGCCCAGCCUGGCACCUCGGUGACUGCACUGCAGUCCGAAUCCGACAAUUUACAACCUGCUAGCCAGGCUCCGCGAUGUGCUCAGCGUACUCCGUUCACCGUAGCGGCAAUGGGGAAGAUGUCGGUGCCACAGACGGAAGAGUGCCACAGAAAGGUCACUGCACACAUAGUCAAAAGACUGCAUCCCUUUUCAGAGGUGGAAUCUCCAACAUUUAAGGAUAUGGUGAAAACUCUCAACCCAAAAUACAUACCACCUUCCAGGGACUACCUGUCAAACACAUUGAUGGUACAAGAAGAAUCGGAAUCGAG